Molecule: long non-coding RNA, 598 nt
Filed under: Malus domestica (apple)
Lineage: Eukaryota; Viridiplantae; Streptophyta; Magnoliopsida; Rosales; Rosaceae
Description: long non-coding RNA (MDOM_LNC000234)
Source: RNAcentral
UUUUUUAAAUUCUAUUUUUCCUAUAACUUCCUAAGCCAUUAUACAACAUUAAAUUAAAUUAAGUAACAUGAAACAACAUUAAACAAUAUGAAACAACAUUAAAUAACAUUAACCAACAUAAAAAUUAUACAAUAUGAAACUUAAACAACAUUUUAGUUGUAAUUUUUAAAUAAUAAAUUAUGUUUGUCCCUAUGACCCUUUGGCCCUAGGUUGGAGACGGUUUUUUGUGAUAGGGCUAAAACGAGCCCUUUGGCCCUUUGGCCUUCGGUUGGAGACGGAGACAAAUAUGACCAUGUACUGUUCAUUAAAAUAUUAAUAUCUUGGAGAAUCUUGGAGGGCCAGAGGGUUAAAACGAGCCAUCUGGCCAGCCCUCGGUUAGAGAUGGCCUUAUUCCUCGCCUGAUUCUCUUUGUGAGAAUCUUCAAAUCACAUCUGUUCAUCGUAUAUCUUGCGAUUAUAAAUCAUUAUAAUUUUUUUUAUUUAAAAUUGAAUAUAAACAGUACUUAACGAAAACUGGCUGCAUAAUGUAUGAUAAACGAAUAUAAUUAAAGGAUUUCUAAGAUCUUUACAAAGAAGAUUCGGCGAGAAUCCCCUCUCCU